AUGAACGCUGGCGGCGUGCCUAAUACAUGCAAGUCGAGCGAACAGACGAGGAGCUUGCUCCUCUGACGUUAGCGGCGGACGGGUGAGUAACACGUGGAUAACCUACCUAUAAGACUGGGAUAACUUCGGGAAACCGGAGCUAAUACCGGAUAAUAUAUUGAACCGCAUGGUUCAAUAGUGAAAGACGGUUUUGCUGUCACUUAUAGAUGGAUCCGCGCCGCAUUAGCUAGUUGGUAAGGUAACGGCUUACCAAGGCAACGAUGCGUAGCCGACCUGAGAGGGUGAUCGGCCACACUGGAACUGAGAGACGGUCCAGACUCCUACGGGAGGCAGCAGUAGGGAAUCUUCCGCAAUGGGCGAAAGCUUGACGGAGCAACGCCGCGUGAGUGAUGAAGGUCUUCGGAUCGUAAAACUCUGUUAUUAGGGAAGAACAAAUGUGUAAGUAACUAUGCACGUCUUGACGGUACCUAAUCAGAAAGCCACGGCUAACUACGUG
This 496-nucleotide ribosomal RNA is filed under the name uncultured bacterium. RNAcentral describes it as "partial 16S ribosomal RNA". It matches the Rfam family "Bacterial small subunit ribosomal RNA", at positions 29 to 507 of the family's 1533-position model. The record is from RNAcentral.